GUUGGCUGGGCUACUAGAGGUAGAUGGGUCUGGUUGGCUGGGCUACUAGAGGUCGAUGGGUCUGGUUGACUGGGCUACUAGAGGUCGAUGGGUCUGGUUGACUGGGCUACUAGAAGUAGAUGGGUCUGGUUGACUGGGCUACUAGAGGUAG
Oncorhynchus keta (chum salmon) is the source of this 151-nucleotide long non-coding RNA. RefSeq lists it as uncharacterized. NCBI's taxonomy places the organism in Eukaryota, Metazoa, Chordata, Actinopteri, Salmoniformes, Salmonidae. The record is from RefSeq and is a predicted model, not a curated record. The transcript has 3 exons.